RNAcentral lists this long non-coding RNA (839 nucleotides) under Nicotiana benthamiana. Its description in RNAcentral is "long non-coding RNA (NBEN_LNC029670)". The record is from RNAcentral. Lineage: Eukaryota; Viridiplantae; Streptophyta; Magnoliopsida; Solanales; Solanaceae.
AACCCUAUCACAGUUCUCCUAUUACUGUUGGGAUUAUUGCCUUAUUACCAUCCAUACAGUCAAUAAUUUAUUAACCGAUUUUUCAGGAUUUCAAUUUCUUGGAAUUGGAUUAGAAGAAGUGAAUGACUUCCAAAUUUCAUUCAACCACCAUCAGAGGAACCAAAUUCAACUCAGGUUUGAAAUAUCUUUUGAGGAUGACCUUGGCCCUCAUUUAUAGAUAUUGGACGUGCCUAACCACCCGCCUAAAGAGGAAAAGAUGGUUGAGAAGUGAGCGGAACUUCAUCCUUAGAUCUUAAUAAGUCUGUUAGGAUUGUGACUGUCCAAAUCGCUGAUGCUUAACUUGGUUACGACAUGGAAGUGAGCGGACUUCAUCCUUAGAUCUUAGUAAGUCUGUUGGGGUUGUGACUGUCCAAACCGUUGAUGCUUAACUUGGUUUACGACAUGGUCUGCAAAGUCAGAUGGUACGUCUAUCGUGAUGUUGUGUCAUGUCACGCUUUACUAGCUGGGCUUAACCGGUAGUGCAGGAAUCUUAGUCUCUACACUUGAUGCCUUACACUGCCUCAAUCUGACUUCUUAAAUGUGGCAAAUAUGUUCUAUGCAAACUUUAGAUGAUUUGAAUGGUAUGUGUUGAUCAUUGUAGUCCCUUUUCAACUUGAAGACUCAGAUAUUGAUCUCCUACUCCAUGUAACAAUAUCUAGCCAUGACAUGAAACCUAAGGAUUGAGUCAACGAGAUGAUUGCGCAGAAAAUCUGAAAUGCACAAUCUAACAGUGGACAGAUUUUGCAUUUUCCUGUUCUAUCAGAGGGCGACGUCACUAGAUCCUUCACAGCAUAAAUUAC